GGUUCGAUGGCGUAGUUGGUUAUCGCAUCUGUCUAACAUGGUCCAGCUUCGGAACGUCGUUACACAGAAGGUCCCCAGUUCGAGCCUGGGUCGAAUCA
This is a non-coding RNA of Paramarasmius palmivorus, 98 nucleotides long. The record is from the annotation of a GenBank genome assembly. NCBI's taxonomy places the organism in Eukaryota, Fungi, Basidiomycota, Agaricomycetes, Agaricales, Marasmiaceae.